AGUAACGCGGGAGAAUCUGCCUCCAGGUCGGGGCCACGAAGUGGAAACUGCUGUUUAUCCCGGAGGACGCCUUAGGGUAAAAGAUUUAUUGCCUGGAGAGGAGCUCGCGUCCGAUUGGCUAGAUGGUGAGGUAAGAGCUCACCAUGGCGACGAUCGGUAGCUGUUCUGAGAGGAAGAUCAGCCACACUGGGACUGAGACACGGCCCAGACUCCUACGGGAGGCAGCAGUGGGGAAUUUUCCGCAAUGGGCGAAAGCCUGACGGAGCAAGACCGCGUGCGGGAAGAAGGCCCUUGGGUCGUAAACCGCUUUUCUUAGGGAAGAAGCUCUGACGGUACCUAAGGAAUCAGCCUCGGCUAACUCCGUGCCAGCAGCCGCGGUAAUACGGAGGAGGCAAGCGUUAUCCGGAAUUAUUGGGCGUAAAGCGUCCGCAGGCGGCUUAUCAAGUCUGCUGUCAAAGACUGGGGCUCAACCCUGGGGAGGCAGUGGAAACUGAGAAGCUAGAGUGCAGUAGGGGUAGAGGGAAUUCCCAGUGUAGCGGUGAAAUGCGUAGAGAUUGGGAAGAACACCGGUGGCGAAAGCGCUCUACUGGGCUGCAACUGACGCUGAGGGACGAAAGCUAGGGGAGCGAAAGGGAUUAGAUACCCCUGUAGU
This 652-nucleotide ribosomal RNA is filed under the name uncultured cyanobacterium. Its description in RNAcentral is "bacterial SSU rRNA". It matches the Rfam family "Bacterial small subunit ribosomal RNA", at positions 109 to 794 of the family's 1533-position model. The record is from RNAcentral. Lineage: Bacteria; Bacillati; Cyanobacteriota.